This 497-nucleotide ribosomal RNA is filed under the name uncultured bacterium. Its description in RNAcentral is "partial 16S ribosomal RNA". It matches the Rfam family "Bacterial small subunit ribosomal RNA", at positions 28 to 507 of the family's 1533-position model. The record is from RNAcentral.
GAUGAACGCUGGCGGCGUGCCUAAUACAUGCAAGUCGAGCGAACAGAUGAGGAGCUUGCUCCUCUGACGUUAGCGGCGGACGGGUGAGUAACACGUGGAUAACCUACCUAUAAGACUGGGAUAACUUCGGGAAACCGGAGCUAAUACCGGAUAAUAUAUUGAACCGCAUGGUUCAAUAGUGAAAGACGGUUUUGCUGUCACUUAUAGAUGGAUCCGCGCCGCAUUAGCUAGUUGGUAAGGUAACGGCUUACCAAGGCAACGAUGCGUAGCCGACCUGAGAGGGUGAUCGGCCACACUGGAACUGAGACGCGGUCCAGACUCCUACGGGAGGCAGCAGUAGGGAAUCUUCCGCAAUGGGCGAAAGCUUGACGGAGCAACGCCGCGUGAGUGAUGAAGGUCUUCGGAUCGUAAAACUCUGUUAUUAGGGAAGAACAAAUGUGGAAGUAACUAUGCACGUCUUGACGGUACCUAAUCAGAAAGCCACGGCUAACUACGUG